This 88-nucleotide transfer RNA is filed under the name Nitrososphaerota archaeon. RNAcentral's name for it is "Thaumarchaeota archaeon tRNA-Met". The stretch from base 23 to 87 matches the Rfam family "tRNA". Rfam says of the family: Transfer RNA (tRNA) molecules are approximately 80 nucleotides in length. Their secondary structure includes four short double-helical elements and three loops (D, anti-codon, and T loops). Further hydrogen bonds mediate the characteristic L-shaped molecular structure. tRNAs have two regions of fundamental functional importance: the anti-codon, which is responsible for specific mRNA codon recognition, and the 3' end, to which the tRNAs corresponding amino acid is attached (by aminoacyl-tRNA synthetases). tRNAs cope with the degeneracy of the genetic code in two manners: having more than one tRNA (with a specific anti-codon) for a particular amino acid; and 'wobble' base-pairing, i.e. permitting non-standard base-pairing at the 3rd anti-codon position. RNAcentral also lists the same sequence under 1 other name. Lineage: Archaea; Thermoproteati; Nitrososphaerota. The record is from RNAcentral.
AGCGGGGUGGGGAAGCCAGACUACGGGGCUAGGUCAUCCCGGCGGGCUCAUAACCCGCAAGUCAGUAGUUCAAAUCUACUCCCCGCUA